This 409-nucleotide ribosomal RNA is filed under the name Aquibacter sp. Its description in RNAcentral is "bacterial SSU rRNA". It matches the Rfam family "Bacterial small subunit ribosomal RNA", at positions 505 to 916 of the family's 1533-position model. Lineage: Bacteria; Pseudomonadati; Bacteroidota; Flavobacteriia; Flavobacteriales; Flavobacteriaceae. The record is from RNAcentral.
GUGCCAGCAGCCGCGGUAAUACGGAGGAUCCAAGCGUUAUCCGGAAUCAUUGGGUUUAAAGGGUCCGUAGGUGGAUAAUUAAGUCAGAGGUGAAAUCCUGCAGCUCAACUGUAGAAUUGCCUUUGAUACUGGUUGUCUUGAGUUAUUAUGAAGUAGUUAGAAUAUGUAGUGUAGCGGUGAAAUGCAUAGAUAUUACAUAGAAUACCAAUUGCGAAGGCAGAUUACUAAUAAUAUACUGACACUGAUGGACGAAAGCGUGGGGAGCGAACAGGAUUAGAUACCCUGGUAGUCCACGCCGUAAACGAUGGUCACUAGCUGUUCGAACUUCGGUUUGAGUGGCUAAGCGAAAGUGAUAAGUGACCCACCUGGGGAGUACGUUCGCAAGAAUGAAACUCAAAGGAAUUGACGG